This is a long non-coding RNA of Phacochoerus africanus (Common warthog), 561 nucleotides long. RefSeq lists it as uncharacterized. The record is from RefSeq and is a predicted model, not a curated record. NCBI's taxonomy places the organism in Eukaryota, Metazoa, Chordata, Mammalia, Artiodactyla, Suidae. The transcript has 2 exons.
ACUUACCGAGGAGGUCCUAUCAGCCACAGGUGGGACAGGUCUCAGGCUCCCUCUAUGUCUCCCAUCUCCAGAAAGGAAAGAAGGUGGUCUGGAAAGGAAAGAUGAGGUCUGAGGCUCUGCUGUUUGCACCUCUGUGACCUCUCGGGUGGCAGGGAAGCAGAACCAUGAAAAACUCUACUGGAGGGAUGGGUGAUGGGGUGGCUGAUGGUCUGGAUCCCAUUCAGGCUCCAAUGAGCCGGGUGGACCCAGGUCCCGCCGCGGACACCAACUCUUCAUGGAACUUGACCCAGUGCUGGGUGCCACUGACCUUCCCGCUGUGAACACACUAAAGACCACUGAAGCCCCCAAGCUGGAGCUCCAGGACAUGCCAGAUGUGUUCCAGUCUUGGCUACAGCUCACAUCAUCAAAUCUGUGAAAGGGAACCUAUUUCCCUGCAAAGUGAGGCUCAAUUACCAUUGUUGGAAGGAUAUAAUCAACCAUGUUUCCUUGUUUUUCUGCCUCCCUUUGAUCUCUGUUUAUAUAUAUCUUCUAAAAGCUUGCAAGUAAAAUAUUCCAUACUGA